GAUGAACGCUGGCGGCGUGCCUAAUACAUGCAAGUCGAGCGAACAGACGAGGAGCUUGCUCCUCUGAUGUUAGCGGCGGACGGGUGAGUAACACGUGGAUAACCUACCUAUAAGACUGGGAUAACUUCGGGAAACCGGAGCUAAUACCGGAUAACAUGUUGAACCGCAUGGUUCAACAGUGAAAGACGGUCUUGCUGUCACUUAUAGAUGGAUCCGCGCCGCAUUAGCUAGUUGGUAAGGUAACGGCUUACCAAGGCAACGAUGCGUAGCCGACCUGAGAGGGUGAUCGGCCACACUGGAACUUAGACACGGUCCAGACUCCUACGGGAGGCAGCAGUAGGGAAUCUUCCGCAAUGGGCGAAAGCCUGACGGAGCAACGCCGCGUGAGUGAAGAAGGUCUUCGGAUCGUAAAACUCUGUUAUUAGGGAAGAACAAAUGUGUAAGUAACUAUGCACGUCUUGACGGUACCUAAUCAGAAAGCCACGGCUAACUACGUG
RNAcentral lists this ribosomal RNA (497 nucleotides) under uncultured bacterium. Its description in RNAcentral is "partial 16S ribosomal RNA". It matches the Rfam family "Bacterial small subunit ribosomal RNA", at positions 28 to 507 of the family's 1533-position model. The record is from RNAcentral.